CAGCAGCCACGGUAAUACGUAGGGUGCGAGCGUUAAUCGGAAUUACUGGGCGUAAAGCGUGCGCAGGCGGUUGUGUAAGACAGGUGUGAAAUCCCCGGGCUUAACCUGGGAACUGCGCUUGUGACUGCACAGCUAGAGUAUGGCAGAGGGGGGUGGAAUUCCACGUGUAGCAGUGAAAUGCGUAGAGAUGUGGAGGAACACCGAUGGCGAAGGCAGCCCCCUGGGCCAAUACUGACGCUCAUGCACGAAAGCGUGGGGGGCAAACAGGAUUAGAUACCCCCGUAGUCCCUGUCUCUUAUAA
This 301-nucleotide ribosomal RNA is filed under the name uncultured bacterium. RNAcentral's name for it is "partial 16S ribosomal RNA". It matches the Rfam family "Bacterial small subunit ribosomal RNA", at positions 509 to 809 of the family's 1533-position model. The record is from RNAcentral.